UAGUCCUUGAUGAUUAUUGGCUUUGGGAUCCUGACUUUGCAACUGCUUCAAAGUAUGUGAUGAGUCCUCCAAUCCGGGAAGCAGGGCAUAAUAAAGCACUUCAAGCUGCUCUUUCAUCAGGAAUAUUACAGCUUGUGGGAACUGAUCAUUG
Aegilops tauschii subsp. strangulata is the source of this 151-nucleotide non-coding RNA. NCBI's taxonomy places the organism in Eukaryota, Viridiplantae, Streptophyta, Magnoliopsida, Poales, Poaceae. The record is from RefSeq and is a predicted model, not a curated record.